CAGCAGCCACGGUAAUACGAACCGUGCGAACGUUAUUCGGAAUUACUGGGCUUAAAGCGCGUGUAGGCGGGCCGCCACGUCGGUUGCUGAAAUCCCCCGGCUCAACCGGGGAAGUGGCAUCGAUACGAGCGGCCUUGAGGGGGGUAGGGGGAUCUGGAACUUCCGGUGGAGCGGUGAAAUGCGUUGAGAUCGGAAGGAACGCCCGUGGCGAAAGCGAGGUCCUGGACCCUUUCUGACGCUGAGACGCGAAAGCCAGGGGAGCGAACGGGAUUAGAUACCCCAGUAGUCCCUGUCUCUUAUA
RNAcentral lists this ribosomal RNA (301 nucleotides) under uncultured bacterium. RNAcentral's name for it is "partial 16S ribosomal RNA". It matches the Rfam family "Bacterial small subunit ribosomal RNA", at positions 509 to 807 of the family's 1533-position model. The record is from RNAcentral.